CGGCAGGAUAGGGCGGGAGAGUAGGGGCCUCCCAUACCGCAAACCCCCUUUGGCGGGCCCGAAUGUCCGGCUGCGUUUCAGCGCAAGUUGCAAGGCUCGGGCUUUAAGCGUCGACGUUUUGCCUUGCCGGACGGUCCAUUGUGCCAACCGGGUCAGGCCGGAAGGAGCAGCCCUACGCAUUUUGGUACCGUGCUGGAAAGUCCCAAGACUGAGCAGCGGUUCGAAUCACCUUGCAGUUCGCCCUGAGGCCCGCCGGUCCUCCUGCCA
RNAcentral lists this signal recognition particle RNA (267 nucleotides) under Microcaldota archaeon. RNAcentral describes it as "signal recognition particle sRNA". It matches the Rfam family "Archaeal signal recognition particle RNA". The record is from RNAcentral. Lineage: Archaea; Nanobdellati; Microcaldota.